This 373-nucleotide unclassified non-coding RNA is filed under the name uncultured bacterium. RNAcentral's name for it is "contains 16S-23S intergenic spacer region". The record is from RNAcentral.
UCCCCGUUUACCGGGGCAGUCCCCUCAGAGUGCCCGGCAUAACCCGGUGGCAACAGAGGGCGAGGGUUGCGCUCGUUGCGGGACUUAACCCAACAUCUCACGACACGAGCUGACGACAGCCAUGCACCACCUGUGCAGGCUCCGUAGAGCGCCGGCUUUCACCGGCUUUACCCUGCAUGUCAAGCCCAGGUAAGGUUCUUCGCGUUGCAUCGAAUUGAGCCACAUGCUCCGCCGCUUGUGCGGGUCCCCGUCAAUUCCUUUGAGUUUUAACCUUGCGGCCGUACUCCCCAGGCGGUCGACUUCACGCGUUAGCUUCGGUACCAAGGAAUCGCUUCCCCAACACCUAGUCGACAUCGUUUAGGGCGUGGACUAC